GGAAUCUUGCGCAAUGGGCGAAAGCCUGACGCAGCAACGCCGCGUGCGGGAAGAAGGCUUUCGGGCUGUAGACCGCUUUCAGCAGGAACGAAAAUGACGGUACCUGCAGAAGAAGGAGCGGCCAACUAUGUGCCAGCAGCCGCGGUGAUACAUAGGCUUCAAGCGUUGUCCGGAUUUAUUGGGCGUAAAGAGUUCGUAGGCGGUCGAGUAAGUCGGGUGUGAAAAUUCUGGGCUCAACCCAGAAACGCCACCCGAUACUGCUUAACUUGAGUUCGAUAGGGGAGUGGGGAAUUCCUAGUGUAGCGGUGAAAUGCGCAGAUAUUAGGAGGAACACCGGUGGCGAAGGCGCCACUCUGGAUCGAUACUGACGCUGAGGAACGAAAGCAUGGGUAGCAAACAGGAUUAGAUACCCUGGUAGUCCAUGCCGUAAACGGUGGGCACUAGGUGUGGGAUUCUAUUAACGAAUUCCGCGCCGUCGCUAACGCAUUAAGUGCCCCGCCUGGGGAGUACGGUCGCAAGACUAAAACUCAAAGGAAUUGACGG
Molecule: ribosomal RNA, 543 nt
Filed under: uncultured bacterium
Lineage: Bacteria
Description: bacterial SSU rRNA
Rfam family: Bacterial small subunit ribosomal RNA
Source: RNAcentral